GAUGAACGCUGGCGGCGUGCCUAAUACAUGCAAGUCGAGCGAACGGACGAGAAGCUUGCUUCUCUGAUGUUAGCGGCGGACGGGUGAGUAACACGUGGAUAACCUACCUAUAAGACUGGGAUAACUUCGGGAAACCGGAGCUAAUACCGGAUAAUAUUUUGAACCGCAUGGUUCAAAAGUGAAAGACGGUCUUGCUGUCACUUAUAGAUGGAUCCGCGCUGCAUUAGCUAGUUGGUAAGGUAACGGCUUACCAAGGCAACGAUGCAUAGCCGACCUGAGAGGGUGAUCGGCCACACUGGAACUGAGACACGGUCCAGACUCCUACGGGAGGCAGCAGUAGGGAAUCUUCCGCAAUGGGCGAAAGCCUGACGGAGCAACGCCGCGUGAGUGAUGAAGGUCUUCGGAUCGUAAAACUCUGUUAUUAGGGAAGAACAUAUGUGUAAGUAACUGUGCACAUCUUGACGGUACCUAAUCAGAAAGCCACGGCUAACUACGUGCCAGCAGCCGCGGUAAUACGUAAGUGGCAAGCGUUAUCCGGAAUUAUUGGGCGUAAAGCGCGCGAGGCGGUUUUUUAGUCUGAUGUGAAAGCCCACGGCUCAACCGUGGAGGGUCAUUGGAAACUGGAAAACUUGAGUGCAGAAGAGGAAAGUGGAAUUCCAUGUGUAGCGGUGAAAUGCGCAGAGAUAUGGAGGAACACCAGUGGCGAAGGCGACUUUCUGGUCUGUAACUGACGCUGAUGUGCGAAAGCGUGGGGAUCAAACAGGAUUAGAUACCCUGGUAGUCCACGCCGUAAACGAUGAGUGCUAAGUGUUAGGGGGUUUCCGCCCCUUAGUGCUGCAGCUAACGCAUUAAGCACUCCGCCUGGGGAGUACGACCGCAAGGUUGAAACUCAAAGGAAUUGACGGGGACCCGCACAAGCGGUGGAGCAUGUGGUUUAAUUCGAAGCAACGCGAAGAACCUUACCAAAUCUUGACAUCCUUUGACAACUCUAGAGAUAGAGCUUUCCCCUUCGGGGGACAAAGUGACAGGUGGUGCAUGGUUGUCGUCAGCUCGUGUCGUGAGAUGUUGGGUUAAGUCCCGCAACGAGCGCAACCCUUAAGCUUAGUUGCCAUCAUUAAGUUGGGCACUCUAAGUUGACUGCCGGUGACAAACCGGAGGAAGGUGGGGAUGACGUCAAAUCAUCAUGCCCCUUAUGAUUUGGGCUACACACGUGCUACAAUGGACAAUACAAAGGGCAGCGAAACCGCGAGGUCAAGCAAAUCCCAUAAAGUUGUUCUCAGUUCGGAUUGUAGUCUGCAACUCGACUACAUGAAGCUGGAAUCGCUAGUAAUCGUAGAUCAGCAUGCUACGGUGAAUACGUUCCCGGGUCU
RNAcentral lists this ribosomal RNA (1370 nucleotides) under uncultured bacterium. RNAcentral's name for it is "bacterial SSU rRNA". It matches the Rfam family "Bacterial small subunit ribosomal RNA", at positions 28 to 1381 of the family's 1533-position model. The record is from RNAcentral.